AUUGAACGCUGGCGGCAGGCUUAACACAUGCAAGUCGAGCGGGGGAAGGUAGCUUGCUACCGGACCUAGCGGCGGACGGGUGAGUAAUGCUUAGGAAUCUGCCUAUUAGUGGGGGACAACAUCUCGAAAGGGAUGCUAAUACCGCAUACGUCCUACGGGAGAAAGCAGGGGAUCUUCGGACCUUGCGCUAAUAGAUGAGCCUAAGUCGGAUUAGCUAGUUGGUGGGGUAAAGGCCUACCAAGGCGACGAUCUGUAGCGGGUCUGAGAGGAUGAUCCGCCAAACUGGGACUGAGACACGGCCCAGACUCCUACGGGAGGCAGCAGUGGGGAAUAUUGGACGAUGGGGGGAACCCUGAUCCAGCCAUGCCGCGUGUGUGAAGAAGGCCUUAUGGUUGUAAAGCACUUUAAGCGAGGAGGAGGCUACUCUAGUUAAUACCUAGGGAUAGUGGACGUUACUCGCAGAAUAAGCACCGGCUAACUCUGUGCCAGCAGCCGCCGUAA
Molecule: ribosomal RNA, 501 nt
Filed under: uncultured bacterium
Lineage: Bacteria
Description: partial 16S ribosomal RNA
Rfam family: Bacterial small subunit ribosomal RNA
Source: RNAcentral